UACAGAGGCCUCGAGCGUUAGGCGGAAUCACUGGGCUUAAAGCGUGUGUAGGCGGACUUCUAAGUACCUUGUGAAAUCCCACGGCUCACCCGUGGAACUGCUUGGUAUACUGGUUGUCUUGAGCCUUCUAGGGGCGAGUGGAACAAAUGGUGGAGCGGUGAAAUGCGUAGAUAUCAGGAGGAACACCAAUAGCGAAGGCAGCUCGCUGGGACGGUACUGACGCUAAGGCGCGAAAGCGUGGGGAGCGAACAGG
This 253-nucleotide ribosomal RNA is filed under the name uncultured bacterium. RNAcentral's name for it is "partial 16S ribosomal RNA". It matches the Rfam family "Bacterial small subunit ribosomal RNA", at positions 524 to 776 of the family's 1533-position model. The record is from RNAcentral.